UGAAUGGGUCCCCGGGCAGCCCAUUCCUGCCUGGCACCACAGGGAUCCAACGGGAGAGGAACAGAGGGUAAAACUACACGGAGAGAAGGAAAUCUCUAGCUGAACUUUGUAACAAUUCGAACAGCGUGAGAAGUCUCCUGGCCAGAACUCGGGGGAGGACACAAAUCUCCUGCACAGUUAAUAUCCAGAGUCACACGUGGAGAGGAAGCAUCACAAUGAGACCAUACAACCAUAUAAUCUGUUCAAGUCCUAGAAGGUGUUGGCAGAGCUGCAGGACUGACCUAGGUCAAUGGCUGUGGGUGUCUGCUAACAGAUUUAACUGCCUGCCACCUGAGCACUGGAGCCACCACAGUACUCAAUCAAGACAG
RNAcentral lists this unclassified non-coding RNA (368 nucleotides) under Homo sapiens (human). RNAcentral's name for it is "novel transcript (ENSG00000282661.1)". Lineage: Eukaryota; Metazoa; Chordata; Mammalia; Primates; Hominidae. The record is from RNAcentral.